AGUGAACGCUGGCGGCAUGCCUAACACAUGCAAGUCGAACGGUAACACACUAAGAGCUUGCUCUUACGGGCGGCCGGUGGCGGACGGCAGAGGAAUGUAUCGGAAUCUAGUUUUUCGUGGGGGAUAACGUAGGGAAACAUACGCUAAUACCGCAGACGACCUACGGGUGACAGCACGGGAUCUUCGGACCUUGCGCGAUUGAAUGAGCCGAUGUCGGAUUAGCUAGUUGGCGGGGUAAAGGCCCACCAAGGCGACGAUCCGUAGCUGGUCUGAGAGGAUGAUCAGCCACACUGGAACUGAGACACGGUCCAGACUCCUACGGGAGGCAGCAGUGGGGAAUAUUGGACAAUGGGCGCAAGCCUGAUCCAGCCAUACCGCGUGGGUGAAGAAGGCCUUCGGGUUGUAAAGCCCUUUUGUUGGGAAAGAAACGCAGCAGGUUAAUACCCCGCUGUUCUGACGGUACCCGAAGAAUAAGCACCGGCUAACUUCGUG
This 492-nucleotide ribosomal RNA is filed under the name uncultured bacterium. RNAcentral's name for it is "partial 16S ribosomal RNA". It matches the Rfam family "Bacterial small subunit ribosomal RNA", at positions 29 to 507 of the family's 1533-position model. The record is from RNAcentral.